UUCUUAAAGAUAGUAAUUUAAGUAAUUUCUGCUCAAUGCAAAUUGUAAAUAGCUGCGUGAGCACUAAGGUAGCAUAAUAAAUUGUCUAUUAAUUGUAGACUGGAAUGAAAGAAUUUAUGAGGAAAAUUUUUCUUAAAAUUAUUUAUUGAAAUUAAAUUUUUAGUAAUAAUGCUAGAUUAAAUUUUAGGGACGAGAAGACCCUAUGAAGCUUUAUAAAUUAAUUAUUGUGAUGAUAAAAGGUUUAUUUUGUUGGGGCAACAUCCUAAGAGAAAAGUUUGGGAAAAUUUUUUUGUUAAUUUAUAUAGAUAAAUAUUUAUGAGCCAUAAAUUAUGAGUGUUGGAAUAAGUUACUUUAGGGAUAACAGCAUAAUUUUGAUUAAAAAGUUCAUAUUGAAAAUUUAGAUUAUGACCUCGAUGUUGAAUUAAUAGUAUUUUUUGAUGAAGAAGUUAAAAGAAUUAGUCUGUUCGACUAGUAAACUAUUACA
This 484-nucleotide ribosomal RNA is filed under the name Stylocellus sp. DNA101514. RNAcentral describes it as "partial 16S ribosomal RNA". It matches the Rfam family "Bacterial large subunit ribosomal RNA", at positions 1831 to 2600 of the family's 2925-position model. Lineage: Eukaryota; Metazoa; Arthropoda; Arachnida; Opiliones; Stylocellidae. The record is from RNAcentral.